CUCUUAUUUCUGUAGAUAUGUUGAUUCAAGAUUGAAUACACUUAUCAAUAACAGUAUUAACCAACGUUUUGUUACCACCCAAUAUUAAUAAAUUGGCACGGAAGUCUGAAUUUUUCUGUUCUUAAUAUCACUUCUGUGCUUUCCCUGUACUGAAUUGGUGUUACAAUUUUCUUCAAUUUAUGUCCUGUUAGUUGGGAUUUAUUUACGUGAAGUAAAAGGGACCCGGCUUGUUAAAUUCUGUUUCCAUUUUGUUAAUUGAUAUAACAUUAUGGUAUUUCUAUUUUGUUUUUUAUGUGGACUUCUCCCACUGACGACCUUAGAUAAUGAUGUUGCCCCAAGAGUAUUAACACUAAUGUUUUAUAUGACCACGUUCUUAAAUAUGUUGAUAAGAAAGGCAGUAAACUUUUGCACCAUUCCUCUUUGGAAUCGGAUGCAACAUAAUUGAGGAUUUCACUGAUCAUCUAAAGUUAAUCCACAGAGGACAUCCUGCAUAUUUUUUCAGGGUUGUUUUCUCAAUGAUGUUAAGAGAGAUGAGUAAGAUGACAAGCGCUUGGACAAAUAUGAGCAUUGCAAUCAUACAUAGGGAUAUAGAAAGGGAAUGGGAGAAUCCUUGUGGAGUUAUGGGUAUUUUUUUUAAAAUGGAGAUGCUUGAUCACUCUCAGAAAAGCUAUGCACUGCUAAAAUUCUGGAGAGGAUGAGGAGAUACAAAAUUUAUUUCAAUAUUAUAAUACCUUUGGAGCAUCUUGGAGCGAAUGAGCAAUGGAAUUGUGGAGCACGGCUCACAUGGAGGAUUGCUCUCUUGGUUUGCUUUGUUGUUUUUGGUUCUACCUUAUUUUAAGAGUAAAGUUGUUGAUACAGAUGGCAAUUGUUGUAGAAGAUGGUUGUUCUAUCCUUUUGAUGAUUCAUUUAAUAGAUGUAUGAUGUUAUGACAUAACAUGUGCAGGAAUAAUAUUUCAAACACUCGGACUAAUUUGUUUCCUUGAAGAUGAGUAGUCGUUUUUCCCGCACGAUAUAUGUUGGAAACUUGCCCUC
Molecule: non-coding RNA, 1032 nt
Organism: Cucurbita pepo subsp. pepo (vegetable marrow)
Lineage: Eukaryota; Viridiplantae; Streptophyta; Magnoliopsida; Cucurbitales; Cucurbitaceae
Source: RefSeq, a predicted model, not a curated record